This 728-nucleotide ribosomal RNA is filed under the name uncultured bacterium. Its description in RNAcentral is "bacterial SSU rRNA". It matches the Rfam family "Bacterial small subunit ribosomal RNA", at positions 61 to 795 of the family's 1533-position model. The record is from RNAcentral.
GUCGAACGGGAGAAACUGAGAUGGAUUUAUUCAACUUAGCAGACACCGUGGGCCGAUGGGUGAGUAACACGUAAGCAACCUGCCUAAAAGAGGGGAAUAACAGAGAGAAAUUUCUGAUAAUACCGCAUAUACCAAAGUAUCGCAUGGUACAAUUGGGAAAGAUUUAUCACUUUUAGAUGGGCUUGCGUCUGAUUAGCUAGUUGGUGAGAUAAUAGCUCACCAAGGCGACGAUCAGUAGCCGGAUUGAGAGGUUGAACGGCCACAUUGGGACUGAGACACGGCCCAGACUCCUACGGGAGGCAGCAGUCGGGAAUAUUGCACAAUGGAGGAAACUCUGAUGCAGUGACACCGCGUAUAGGAAGAAGGCCUUAGGGUUGUAAGCUAUUGUCGUGUGAGAAGAAAAUGACUAUCACAGGAGGAAGCCCUGGCUAAAUAUGUGCCAGCAGCCGCGGUAAUACAUAUGGGGCGAGCGUUAUCCGGAUUUAUUGGGUGUAAAGGGUUCGUAGGCGGGAAAGUAAGUCAGUAUGUGAAAUCCCUCGGCUCAACCGAGGAACUGCGAUUGAAACUAUUUUUCUUGAGUACUGGAGGGGAAAGUGGAAUUCUUAGUGUAGCGGUGAAAUGCGUAGAUAUUAGGAAGAACACCAGUGGCGAAGGCGACUUUCUGGACAGUAACUGACGCUGAGGAACGAAAGUGUGGGGAGCAAACAGGAUUAGAUACCCUGGUAGUC